ACAUUUUCUGGAGCUACUGUGGCAAUCACUAGUCCUAAUCUUGGAAGGAACUGGAUUCUUUAUUCUCUUCCAGAUUUUGCGAAGGAGACUAGUCAAAGCCCGAGGAGAGAUAAGAACAUGGUGUGAUAUUUGAAGAUAAAUUGACAAGUAAAAGAAAAGCGAGAUGUCUUCAGAUCGAAGCUGCAUUAUACGAGCACUUUGGAAAUUACAGGAUUGCCAGCUUUGGGACAAAACAACAUUUGUGCUAAACAGCCGGGGUCCUCAUACUUAAAACGAAGGGGACUACUGACCAAAACUGAACUCAUUUCCUACAAAGAUUCCUUGGGAGCUUCUGGUCUGUCCAAUUUUAGGCUUGAAAAAUAGUUGAAGGUUGUACCUUUUGGAUUUUCAAUAGGAGUUGUGUGAUAGUCACUGACUGAGCUAUGACACCGACUAUACCACACAUAGCUCUUGCUGCAAGAACAAAGGGAAUGCCAAAUGGAUGGGAGAC
This 490-nucleotide long non-coding RNA is filed under the name Monodelphis domestica (gray short-tailed opossum). RNAcentral's name for it is "lncRNA (ENSMODG00000043389.1)". Lineage: Eukaryota; Metazoa; Chordata; Mammalia; Didelphimorphia; Didelphidae. The record is from RNAcentral.